Lineus longissimus is the source of this 525-nucleotide long non-coding RNA. RefSeq lists it as uncharacterized. The record is from RefSeq and is a predicted model, not a curated record. Lineage: Eukaryota; Metazoa; Nemertea; Pilidiophora; Heteronemertea; Lineidae. The transcript is spliced from 3 exons.
UUGAAUAGAUGAGUGGUUUGGUAACCUCUCUGACGUAACGUACUCAAUACGGGGCGUUGAAUUUGGCUGUGCUCCUGGUAUGACAGACCGGUUUUGGGAACACAAGCGUUCAGUUGUGUCGACGCCAAGUCGAAGCACUGGUUCAACAUUGACGCCAGACACGUUGUCCUGUCUAGCACACCACGUGCUGCCCAACUGGUUUAUCACAAGAUACGACGUGAACACCACCAUGAAGCCCCGACGUCCCUUGAACUUUCAAGAAAUGGUUGGGUUUGGUCAAGGGACUGGUAUUGGAUCUGAUAUAUUAUCAUAAUUGUCACACCCUUUCGCUAAAUAUGAGGUCUUAAAAAUGCUUGGUAUUGCUCCUUGUGAGGUGUUACCCAACGUUAAUGACGCCUGUCUGUAUAAGUGGUACAUACUUGACACCUAUGGCGAAGGAUGAGCCAGUUAUUUUCGAGUUUGUACUUUGGGUGCAUCUCGUUCCUCGGGUUGCAUUGCGCCCGCGACCCCAUAGGAGUUCCUGGU